RNAcentral lists this long non-coding RNA (399 nucleotides) under Physcomitrium patens. RNAcentral's name for it is "long non-coding RNA (PPAT_LNC006711)". Lineage: Eukaryota; Viridiplantae; Streptophyta; Bryopsida; Funariales; Funariaceae. The record is from RNAcentral.
UGAUCCGUCGGCCAGCGGAUUCCAAAGGUCAUGACCCUUUGAAUUCUUAAUCAUUUAUUCCACUAACAACUUACUGUUACCAACUAAACUGCCUAACUAUGAGUCUAAUUCUCAAGGUUAUCAAUAACCAACUAAUAACUUAUCACAAAGUUUAUUUACCUAUUCUACAUAGCCCCAUUUUUAAUUGUGCAGAGUCCUCACAAAUAAUAUUUACCCUCAACUUAUAAAGACGUAGCAGCGGAUAUCUCUGAAGGUGUUGUCGCUGAAACUAGUGUAUUGGUCCGUACUACAUUAUUGGCCUCCUUCUCUAAUGUGGCUAGUUUAGUCUACAACAUUGCAACCUCUACUUGCAACCAUUCUUGCCGUUUCUUCCAAUCGGUCUUCAACCUUGCUUUCUUA